Columba livia (rock pigeon) is the source of this 36404-nucleotide long non-coding RNA. RefSeq lists it as uncharacterized. The record is from RefSeq and is a predicted model, not a curated record. NCBI's taxonomy places the organism in Eukaryota, Metazoa, Chordata, Aves, Columbiformes, Columbidae. The transcript has 4 exons.
AUUCUCUAGAAAGUGCAAGAAGAGGAUGUAAGGGAAUAUUACAGGAUAACCUCUUUAGACGUGAGAAACUGCUUAUUUAAGUAAAACAUUAACUGAUUUAUGCCUCAAAGCACAAAGAUUUCUAGCCUUUACUUUAUCUUACCUUAAAUAUAAUCCAGAUCAUUUCUUCAUUAUGUAUUCAGGUUAAAGAAUCCUUAUUACAGUAAUAAACAUUUUUGUUACAAUUUUUAUUUGCUAUUAAAGGGUGACAGUGCUGCCACGGAGGCAAGAAGCAUGGCUUUUAUUUUUGUUUUGAGAGAUGGCAGGAGACACUUGACCUUGAAAAGACAGGGCAAAGUAGAAGAGACAGAAGGGUCAGAUUGCCUUUGCUUUUGAGUGUCUUUCAUCCUCUGGAGGUCCCAACACACUGGCUGAAAAAUAGAUGGGUGUAUGUUUGUGGUUGUGUGUGUUCCUUUAUGUGCAUACUCUGCAGGUGACAUGGAACUCAAACCUAUUUGUGGACAUAAGCUUUAAGCUCUGGCAUAAUUGAAUAAUCAAUGCCCAAAGGUUUCCAGCAAGGCAUAUAUCUGGGAGUGAUUUCAGAAUGUACCCAUUGCCUAAUGUUGUAGUGUCAUUUGGGGAAGAGCUGUCUUUUGCAAAGAGUACUCCUGGGAACCAUGAAAUAUCCUAUAAUCUGCUCUGACUACCUUACACUGAACAAGAUGAGCAAAUGUAAAGAAUGGAUAAUGUAGCAUGGAGAAAAUAACAAAAUCUAAAUUGAGGUUUCUGUUGUAAUGGUGUUGGUAGAGGGGGCUGAGUUACUAAAAUACAUCACUGUUUGCUGCUUCCUAGCACGAACAGAAAAUUAGAACAAUGCUAGGGCCACAAGACUGGCCAGAGUUACACAAAGUAACACACAUGUGGGCAUUAGGGUACAGAAGGUGGCUGUUAUGUACAUUCAAGAUGCAACAGCUGCCUCUCGUAGGUAAUAUUAAAAGUAUAAAGGUUUUCUCACCUUCCUUUUCAGAAAACUAAGAAACGAACAAUAGGAAAGAUGAAUUUUCGAAACCCACAGUGGAGACUUAAAAAUGGACAAAGAAGGGUUCAGCCAAAGCUCUAACAUCACAGUUGAUGAAGGCAGAAAGUCUGAUUUUUGUCAUACGUAUUAAAAAGUCAAUAGACUAUUAUCUCAUAAUUUCAACAUCUUUGCACAAUGAAAGAUUUAGUAAGAAAACAUUCUAAUUUUAUAAAAGAAAAUAUGGCACUGUAGAUUUAAUUUCUCGACAGGUUAUCGAAAUCUUGACCAGAAGAGAAGACAGACGAGUAAGUGAGCAGGUGAGCUGUCUCUUUGAACGCCCAGUAGGUACCCUGAACAGCCCUACAAAGAUGUGCCAGCUUCAAAAGUUUAAUACACAUUUGCAAACUGCAUAGCCCAGAGAACACUUCAGACAGAGUUCUCUAGGGGCUACUUUUGUGAUUAUAACUAUUCAGCUGAAUUUCUAAAUCAUAAGAAUGGAAGCUUGCAUUUAGCAGAAGGGUUCUCGGGAGUAUUGACACUUUAAUGUUCAAUCUUAAUGACUGAGCAAGAAACUUAAUGGAAAUAGAGAAAUCUGCUAUGGCAGUUUUACCGCCCAGUUUAAUAAAACCAAAAUUUCAUCACUUCAUAUUUACAGUAAUGGAAAUAGCUUAAAAUCUGUUUAAAGCAUCAAAGAGAUUUAAUAUUAGAGCCUUCUUACUCUUCUUUCUGUAAAAGAAACACAUUAUCUCCUUUUAGGAGAAAGCAUUAGUUCUUGAAACUCACACUAAUCACAAUAUUAAUUUUUUCCUGUUCUAUGUCAGAUGAGCUCUCUAAGUGCUUUCUAGCUUUUAUUAAACAUGAGCAGCAAACUUACAAAACAUUGAUCGAUAAUAUUUGCUCUAACAGAAGAAAGGUGAGGAAUAAGGGAGAAAGGUGGUUUUUUUUCUUUUUUUUUUUUUUUCCCCUAGAGUUUGGGUCUAUUAGUUUAUAAGUAGUGAAGAGGAUAUGGAGUGCCAGUAUAGCAUUGUUUCCUACAGAAAGCAGGUUACUGACAAUAUUUCAUUUAUGGGAUAGCAGUGUAAUAUCCCUGAAUUUGUCAUGCAUAGAAAGCAUGAGAAAAUGCUGCUUACAUCAUCAAAACAAGCUCUCAUAGAAAUUUUAUAAGCCAACAAAGCACAGAAAGCAUAUGUUGGAUCACUAUUAUAGUUUUAUUUGCUUAGGCAGACUUUCUCAGCUCAGGUCCCAAAAAGUUUCUCUUAGAAAUCCAAAUGAACAUGCAAAAUAAAUUAUGCAGCAUAUCUUUAUAUAAAAGACUUUUCAGACCCAUAUAAGUACUUACCCAACUAAAAAUGAGAUUGAAACUGCUUUAGAAUAAUAAAAACAUCCAUUAUUAACACCUGCUUAUUCUAGUUUCUUCUGUAGUAUACUUUUGUUUCAAUAGGCAAAGCCAAAGCACAAAUCACUAAAGUAAUCUUAUAUUACAAUACCCCAUGUUAGAUAAACAUGUAAUCAAGGGCCAUUUCUUUUAAAGAUUCUGCAGCUUUUUAGUAAAAAAACGCAUUUCUGUAAAUGAGUUUGUGACUUUAUGUGCUGUUUUGUAGUAAAAAAGACAAUUUGAAAAACAAACUUUUGCUUUACCAUUCAGAAUUGUUCUUGCACCCUAACUUUUACAGAUUCACAUGAACAAUUUGUGGAUUAAAAUAAAAAAUGUUAGCCAAUGCUAUUUUUCCAGCAAGCAAUGUAUGAUGGUAGGAGGGAGGAAAAUUUUGAGCCAGUUUAUGGGCCAAACAGGAUUCAGGCAAGCUUAGAAUUCCCUAGUAUCACUUUGGGUGCCAAAACUGAUCCCCCAAAUCUGGGUUUUCACAUCCAGAUUUAGCCAGCAAGUUGCAAACUAUUGUUAAAACUACAUGGUGGCCUGAAUUUAGGGAAAACAUUAUUUACCUUUCAGCUGUGCAGGUCUUCAGGGUUCUUAUAUCUGACCGACACUUUGACAAACACUUCCGUCAUAGCACUGGUCUACCAGAAGUCUCCAAGUCACUGCUUUAGCCCAUGGUCUUCCUGGGACAUGGCUGAAACACACAAUUCCUCAUUGUUACUAUGCAACUGUCAACAUCAAUAUACUUUGGAUAAAACCUCAUAAAGGAUUUUUUUUCAGUCAGCGUUUACAGAACCUGAAAGCCUCAGCUGUUUAGCCUGUAUGAAAUUUCUUCAAGUAUUCUAUUUCACAAAGUGCUGUAAAAAAUGGAGUGGAGAAAUAAGGGACCCCAAGUAUGAUACCACUUCUGCCACCUCUCAGGCUGACAGUACUCUAGAAAAAAAAAUAAAUUCCAACCAGUGCUGAAGCUUUAAGGCCUUCCUAACUAGACAGAAACACUACUUCCACAUGAAGCUUGGGAAGCCCUGGUUGUCCCUCUGUGUGUGGUUGCUUACCUGCGUACACAUGCGCAUGCAGGCACACACACACUGCAUGGAGCAAGAUGCCCUCUGGAAGACGUGGACCCCAUUGAGCAAUUUCUGUCCUGCCUUUGUGGCCACAGAAGUCAGACUUUUCUUUUUCUGCCUAGCACAUGGAGCCAUACACACUAAUAGCUACCACAUAGGGUUAACUUUCCUCUAACCAGAGUCUUAACAGGUCAAAUUUAAAAGAUCUUUAGACAUUGACAAGACCUGCAAAUAAGAUGUGACUCAAGCAAAGUCACAAUCCCUUAAUGUAAAAAGCAGUCCAGGUGUGAUGUACCCUACCCAUGCCCAGAUGAGCUUUUUCUCUCCCAAAAGUGAUAGAAAGGAAGUAUUUUUGAAGACACACAGAGUAUGCACCGUCUGCUCUGAACAUAAUUAGAAAAGUGACAGGUUCAGCUCUUGUCUUGUUUUCCUCUGUUUAAAUCUGAAAUGCUUUCAUUACAAAAGCAUGGGUCUGAAUUUUGAUACAUGAUCCUUCUCUCUCUUCCCACGAUAAUAUUGACAUUGUUUUAAUCUGGUUUUAAAGGAAAUACUAAUAUGCAUCCAAAGUCAAACAGAUUCUAGGUUCUGGCUAGAAGAUCAAUAGACAGCUCUUGCGUUACUGUUGAUUUGUACCAAGGACAAAAAGAUCAAAAAUAUGCCUAUGCUUGACAUUUGUAAGUAAUACAAUCUUUGUAUUCCGGUAACUAUUGAAGACUCUAUUACUAUCAGAUUAUCGUAUUCACCUUUGGCAUCAGAAAUAAUAAAUAAAUGAAGAGGUAAGUCCUUCAGUAACUUACUGUACUACAGUAAUAUUGUCUAUAAUAAAACGAAAUAUUGUAGAAGUAAUAUAACCCGGUUCCUAUUAAAGUAUUAAGGACAUUCUACCUCUAUGACAGCACCAGAAUUUAAGAGUGAGACAUAGAGAAAAAUCAAUAUUGGGUUAAGUUGAUAGAACAGUAUUACUGGACCUCAAAAAAUCCCUCCACAGAUGUUGUAAAUCAUGGCAUAGUAUACAAGACCAUCUGUUAGAAAGGAUUGUUAAAAGGAUCACUACAUCAGUUUAUUAAAAGCUUCCUAUUAUACUUAUGUAACAGCAACUAAAUGAACAAUUCAGUAUUAUUGAAAUGCAUUCCUGAGGUGAGGACCAUUUCAAGGUGUAUAAUGGUGCCUCAAACCUGGGAAAAGGUGCCAUUUUAAAAACCUGGAAGUAUUUUCCAAGGUUUGUGCCAAAGUCUGAAACCUCAUUCUGCUCUGGCAAGACGGUUUAAAUAGUCGAAGUCACAGGCACUUGAGCCUAGAUCAUCUUAUCUUUAAGAGAAAAGCAAACAGAAAAAUGAACAAUAAACUCCCUCUUCAUCCCUUGCAAACCCCCAGUUGCCAGAUCCCCUACACCAGGGGUGUCAAACGUGGUCCCAAGAUAACCAAUUCCAAUUGUGUUUUUUUUAUUUCCCCCCUUGAGAGGCAGUACAAAGGUCUUUGAUAAACAGUGUAAUACUCUGAUAAACAGUGUAAUACUCUGUCUAACUCUCAUGCACAUGCUCUGGAAAGACUGAACAUUUCCCAUUAUUGCAAAGUAUUGCAAAACCUGGCAAAAUCUGGCAAUAUGCAAAAAAGUAUGGAAGAAAGAAGACCACAAGAUUUAAAUGGCCAAAAUUUCCCAUCAGGUCAAUAACCUUCAACAGACUUAAAAACUCCUGCCUUCAACUUGCUAAAUGCAAGGUGUUAAUGGGACCCCUGGAGAGACUGAGAAGAUGACACAUGUGCCUUUCCUCCUCAUUCACCUCAACUGGCCUUUAGCAGUUAUUCUUAUGUUGCCCUGAACCAGAUUCUUUCCUUUAACUGGAAGAUUAUAAAGAGCAUCAGCAAAAAUGCUCCCUAGAUUUCUGCAGACAAUAUACAUUUAUCAGAAGUCCAUUCUUCCCAUUUUAGUGUGAAGUGUCCUAGAAAUGUGUUGUACAGUUCAACACCGUACUGCCUACAGCCUCCCUGUGCAUGAAGCUCUGGUCCUGUACUGUUAUCGGCAUCUUUGCUUACCUGCUCUUUCUUCAUAAAGACAGGACACACAAUAUUUUUGGAUAUCCCUCAUUUGUUUAUAGGACUGGAAGCUGAGUAUUUGUUUUCACACAGUGUUGAACAUAGUCUGCAAAUAGCUUAAGCUUUAUGUUAACAUAUGGUAUAAUUGAAGAAGAUUAGAAGAAGGUGGCUAAUGAUAUAAUCAUUCAAAAGUGUUUGUAAAUUAAUUUUUUUAGCUGAAGUUUGCAGUCCUUGUUUCUAACCAACAGCUGGUUGAUGCCUUUUCCUGGUACUUUUGCGGAAAGCCCAUUUCAUUGCUCUAAUCUGAAAUUUGUGGCUGACCACCUCGUGAGUGAGUAGGUGAGAAAAAAACCCCAAAUCACUGUUUGGCACUCACAGCUAAACAAAACAACAUGAACUGGAGAUCACACUGAAGAGGAAACAACUUUUAAAAAUAUUUGGAGAAUAUAUUCAGAUAGUAAAUGAAUCUGGGAAAAAUCUCUAUCUGCCUAUAAGUGUUUCUUGAGCACAAACAGGCUAGAUGAAUCAAAUAAAUUGUUGAGCAUGAAUUAUCUCCUCAUUACUAGGAAAAGUAAAGGAACUUCCUCUUCCAACUUUUCACAAAUAACUUACUGUGUAAAUGUAUUUUUCUGAAUGUCUGCCUUUUCUGGGACAUCUGACUGUAAUCAGAGCAACAUACAAAAAUAUGCAAAGCUAUUCUCAUGCUUAAAUUACUCUCCUAGUAAAAUGACAUUCAUUUUAAACUGAAGAUGGAAAUAGUGAAGUCAAAGGCAAACAUAAGCUAUCAAUGUCUCAGGCUAAUAUUAUAUUUAACUGUCCCUUUGGAUGAACAUUUUUGGUUCUGACUUUCUAUAGAUAAUUCAAAUUAAUUAAAUAGACCUCCUGACAAAAAUAAGUAAAGCACUCCCAAGAAUUUUUUUAAGAUGGGAAUAUGUGGUAUUGUUAAGGAAUUAAAAAAUAACAGAAAUUUUAAUCAGCCCAUGAAAUGCUGACUGUAUGCCCAAAGCAUUAUGUUCCUUAAUUUUCAUAGCUUCAGAACAGCAUAUAUCAUCAAUACUUUGGUAAUCACCUCAACUUAGUAACUAGGUCACAAAGUCAUUUGCCAUUCCAGGAAAGAAUUGGCAUGGUACAGAUUUUCAUUCAUCUAUUAUUUCUGCUGUGUGGAAAGCACAUGAAAAUCUUGCUUGCCUCAUCAGAUACAGCAUUUGAACUCUCAUGUACUGUAGCAGUUUGAAAUUAAUGAGGAAUUCACAAGCUAAAAUCAUUUGGUGUUGAACAAACUGGUGGAAGCUGUUCACUACUGGGUAUGUAUUAACUAUGCCAAGCAAAGCAAAUUUUAAGUUGACAAAUUACAAAAUAGUUUCAUUAUGGCUUCUGCUCAGCUUCCCUCCUCCUUUGUCUGUUUCCUCCUCUCCCUCUGCCUCUCUCCCUCUGCCUCUCCCUCUCCUCUCCAUUCAUGUCCCAAAUUUAUUUGCAGCAUGACUGAAAUGAAAAAAGACAGAUUUCCUUUAGAAAGUUUCCAUGAACCAAAAUGAACUUUUAAUAAUGUCUUAGUUAACAAGUGGUGUUUGGUUCAUUCCCUCUAAGUCCUUCCCCACAACAGCCAGCUCACCAGAUGAUCAGGUGGAAGGACAGCACAUCAGCCAAAUUUUUCUGGAAAACCUUCUAACACAUUCAUGGUGAUUUUUACAGGAGGAAACUAACCCCCAAACAACACAGGGGUGCAUUAACUCUUUCAAAACUUAUAACACAGUAGCUUGUUGCUUUCAUUUUCUGUAGUGGUUGUAGCACAUCAGGAACUUUUAUGUUACUAUGCCUAUAAUCUUUCACUUUCUUAAAAUAAGUCAUGGUUAGAAUGGCCAUACUAAUCACUCUCUUAUUUGCUUGUAAUUAUAUCUCUUACAUCUAUCAUCAUUCAAAUUGCACUUUCAGACUGUAGAGAUGCCCCUUGAUGUGCAUAUCUCAGCUACUAAGCUAUCCUAAAAUCUGCUUAGAAAAUAGCUGUCAAUAACGGUUGUACACCAAUCCAAUAUAAUCAUUCCACAAUAGCCACUCUGAGGUUAUGUACAAAACCCCUCUGUUUAUAUAUAUUCAUACCCAGACCAUUUGCAGCACGUAAACUGUUGGAGUACUGAUUCCUUACCAGUCAAGAUAAAACUCAACAUUUCAGUAAAUCUGUAAUCUGCUUUAUGUAUUUCUCUCUACAUUUUCAUAGGAAAAUUACCAUCUUAAACAAUCAAGAAAGAGGCAUUACUGGAGGAUAUUCUUAAAUUAAAUAAUCAACACUUAAUUAGGUAUUUCCAAUUUUCCAGAUACGAAGAUGGAAGCACGCCAAACUGAAAAAUACAAAGUCUUCAAAAGAACUUGGCAGCCAUUUCCAAGUAAGAAGCGUGUCUUGAUACAGUACUCAGGAGCAGCUUGCAAAUAGUCCUGGAAAAGAAAGGAAAUUUAAUUUCACGUCCUUAGUAUAAUAGGACAGCGCACAAUACAAGGACAGCGAAAUCUCCACUGGAGUACUGAUAUUUGUUCCCAGGUACGAAGUGUUGUCUUACAGGGUCACUAAUGAUCUCUGCUGCUCUGUCCUCACCGCCAGCUACUGCUCUGGCACUGAGCACACCCAGCCUGUGCAGGGCUGAGGAGUCUGCCCUGCCACUGUGUGAAUCCUGAGGCUUUUGUUCAACCCUGGGGCCAUAUGAAAUCUAGGGUUGCCAAGAUUACAUGAUUUGUCAAGGUCACAUAUGAAGGGGCAAACCAGAUUUCCUUAAUUACGAUGAAAUGUAAUAAACACGGGUAAGAAGCUGCUCCUAUUUAGAAAUUGUUUGUGCUUACAAUAGGAAGGGAUUUCCAUUUUCUAAUCAUUGUUCUUUCUGUAAUUGUAAAGUAUUGUCCAGCAGGAACAUUUUUCCUUGUGUGCCCAGCCUCUGUUACAAAGAAGGGCUUAAGUAUACUCAAAGUAUACUCAGCAAAAAUAGCCUAAAAAAUCUCUCUGCAUAUGAAAGUGCUUUAAAGACCUCACAGACCCAUGAGUCAGAUGGAAAAAAUACAGUUCAGAUAUCUGUAAAGGCCUGCAUGCAGGGCCUAAAAUGGUUUUAAUUUCCAUGGAAUAUAAAAUAGAAGUGUAGACACGCACUUCAUUUUCGCAGCAAGCUCUCACUGAUAACAGCAAUUCAUAAACUUUGUCACUUGGAGCUGUACAUUGUUCCACUCACUUGAGAGCUAAAAACCAGUGUCAUAGACAAGAGCCACCUCUACCAGAAAACUCACCACUAUAUAUUUAUAUAUUUUUUUAAAAAUAAUUCUAACAUGAACAAUUGCAUCAUUAUAACACUGAAUUGACAGCCUUCCUACAGAGAGCACUGCAGAAUAAUGGUUACACAGGGAAUCAAUACAAAAAGGGAAAAAGUCAAACAACUUUGACCCAAAAAUUCAGUGUCUCUGUUUCUUGAAAUGGGCUCAUGGACCAGGAAUACAUGGCUUGUCAAAUAAAUAUAUGUAUUUUAUUGAAUAGCACAGCACAAAAUCUACAUAGCUUGUUGAAAUAUUGAGUGAGUCACUCCUGCCCUGCAAGUGCAUUAUUAUAUCCUCUCAUCCAAAAUACAAAGACAAACAGCUGCAGAGAGAUUUUUGCCAUGUUUCACAUAUAUCAAGCACAGCAGAUGUAGCAGCCUCAUUUUGGUAGUGUACAUUCUGUCCUGUAUUUGGACUGUCUCUUAGGUAUAUAAAUGAAGAUGGGAUUGUGUCUUUGCUGGGGCAGCAGGUAAAUGAAUCACAAAAAAGACCCAGUCAGGCUGUGGAUAAAACAUGGUCAUUUACCAGGCUUUGUGCCUUAAUAAAGAGCUGUGAAAAAAAGGCCUGAUUUGAGAAAGUGGUGGAAAGAAAGGAACGAGUGGAAGGAUGCUCAUUUUUUUAAUCCAUUGAUUCACUGCCUAAUUUAACUUUUGUUAAGUGCUCCUCGCUAUUCUUGCCUAUUCAUAUAAGCAAGCAAAAGUGUGAUUGUGAAGGGGGUAAAGAUGACAGUUCUGUUUCAUAAUGUAUUUGGCCAAGGUGCCCUUAUUCAUGUAUUAUACACAUGGGCAUUUUUAAUAUGCAGGUUGCAGCUGCUAUUUAAAACCUUGCUAAUGCUUCAUGGAAAAAAAUGAAUCCAUCUACUGAGAUUUCACCUAUACAGCAUGUCUUUUUUUGCCCCUCACUAUUUUAUAACUAGUGGUAUUUGCACUAAUGCUGAAUUUUUGUCACUAAAGAGUUUGUCUGAUUUGGCUCUGAGAUGCUUGACUGAAGUUAUAGCCCUCACUGAUAUAACUUCCCGUGUCUGUUGUGAUGAUACAAACUGGUUUACGUUUUCAGAGAGACCACUUCUAGGUUUCUGACAGUGGCAAAAAUGUCCCACUCUCCCUCAGGUUGAGCAGUGUGGUUGGCAAGAAAUACGGGUUUGGUCUACUCCAAAAUUAACAAAUAUAAAUCCUUCAGAUUUGAAUUAGUGUUGUAUUCACAUUGACUGUUUCCAAAAAGAGCAUAGAAAUCAAUGGCUAACCUGCUCUUCCCAAUACUGUUUAAUCAGAAAGGAGGGUUUUUUUUUCUUGCUUGUUGUAAACUGCGUUGCAUCAAAUUUCUGAAAACAAGAACAUUCAAAGCUCAUCUGUUUGAUACUGUUGCAGUGACAAAUGCAUAUAGAUGCUCUCUUUCAUUUCUAUGAACCACUUUCUAGGCAACAGAUAUUUGCUUAUUGAUACUAUUUAGCAAGGUAAUUAAAGCAUUUACAAGUAAUUGUCUGCAACUUGCAAAACUACUAAGGUUAUUAACAUUGUAUCCCUUUUCAGGGAAUUACUCUGAUACAAAAAUAAAGAGAGUGGCUGAUGUUAAAGAUGACACACAGCUGAAGAUUAAGAGGACAAUGUGCACUGAAAUGGUUCUCAGUCUAUUCCACAGACAAAUGGUGAACUCUGUUCUUACAUGAAAGAGCUUUGGGGCAUCAGCAUAUGAAUUUUGUUAAUAUCACAACUCCUCUGCCUCUUUGACUACCUGUGGGUACUAUAGUACCCACAAGAAAUAAGAUACCAUGACCUAUCUUCAAUUAUAGGUUAGAUAUGCACUGUUUGUUUGAACAGCAGUGAUCUGCUGGGUUCAAAGUCUUAUACUCAUCUCUGCUUGCCCUCUACUAAAAGUGUCCUAAAAUAAAUGCAUUUAAAGUUUGUUAUGGCCCUUACACAGGCUUUUCCUUUUAGGAUAGGAAUUUGAAUUCACCACAGGCCAGCAGAAAGGAGCUGGAAUUAUCCUCCUAAACGGGCAGUUUGUAGCAGCUGGAAGAAGGAGGUCACAGGUCUGGCUGUGCUUCCCAGGCCACCGCUGCUCCUGCCAUGGGUGACCGCUGCCAAUUACCAGACUUAGUGGGCAUCUCAGCAGAAGGGGGAGAAAGAGAAUUAAAGGGUGACUGAGUAUUUAUUGUCUUAGGAAGAGUCAUUCUUUAUUCUACAGCAGUGAAGCCUAUGAGAAUUUUUCUCCCUCAGUAGCAAAGAAUCACCCUGUGCUGCAGGUGUUGAUUUUUUUUUCCCCAGAAUAAGGCAAUCUGAGGCACCUUUUUUUUUUUAAAUGUUAUACAAAUUUUGGGGAAUAUAACAGUACCUGACUAAACCUCUGCUGUAAUGUGAUAUUGCAAACAUCAUGGUUAUUGUACACAUGACAAAGCUGAUAUCUGGCUCAUGCGUUUUCACAUUUGAAUCAGCUAUGGAUAGAGCUCAUGUGCUGACACACAAGCAAUACCACACUGUAAUAUACUUCAACACCCCAACUCAGCCAACUGUGUCCUCAGGCCUAUAAAAAUUUGUUAAUCAAAUAGCACGAGGUGUUUCCAAUAAUGCAAUUGAACAUAAAAGCUAAAUGCUGCUUUAAUUCAGUGUAAGCAUAAUAAGUAAUGAACCAUGUUUUCAAUUCUGAUGCUUCUUAAUGCAGGUUGAAAUUCCAUUUUUUUUUUUUUUUUUAGAGAAAUGGUAUAGGACUAUGACUAAAACAUAUGGUCAGCCUUUUUGUUUCUGUCACAAAAAUUACUUCUGUUAAUUAUCAGUGUUCUUGGCAGGCUCAGCAAAGAGUCGAGGAAGAUAUCUUCAAGAGCCAUCAAAUUUUCAUACUAAAUGCAUUUUAGAUGAUAAACAGCACACAUGGAUUGCCCAAAAAAUAGGCUUUGUUUUUGUUCUUUUUUUUUUCCUCCCAAAUGUACAUAUUGUCAUCGAAUUAGAUGGCAAAGAGUACAGCUGAAUUAGAAUCAUAAAUACCAGAAAUGUACAUGACAUGGAGCUAUGUGAUAGUUACAAGAUUUAACGUAAAGCCAAGGUGGGGGGUCCCAUUCCUGAUUUCAUCACUUAACUCUCACAUGGAUUUGAGGAAGUACCUGGUCUGUACUUUGUCUCAGUCUCACCAUGUAACCUGAGGAUAAUAGUAAUACACAAAAUACUUUGAAAUCUUCCUGAUAAAAAUGUUAAGCAAUGUAAAACCUUUCAAAACAUUCUGAUAUUCUUCUCUCUUGCUGCCUGGGGUUUGAUGCAUUCUUAAAAUAGCAGCAAGUCAGCAGCUGCAGCUCAGUUUCCAGGACAAGGGACCUACACAUGCUGCACAUUUCAAGUGACAGAAUGAACACUGGGUUUUUGUGCAGAACCUUCUUUUAGGUCACUAUAAUCAGGCACUGUCACAACUGCUCUAAGGAAAGGCUUACUGUUACCAGGUGAACCCGGGCUUCAUGUGUUAGUAAACUUGGCUGAGGUCUGGUUUAUAAGGCACAAGAUUGCCUGGUCCUGUCUAAAUGAUUGGCAGGAAGCUUGGCCUCUGCCCUGAGAAGCGACCUGAAGAGAAGCUGGUAAAGCACAGCUUGCUCUACAACCAUGAUUAUGACUGUAGCUGUGACACACCAUGCUUAGCAGUAUUCAUUUGGGGCAGAAAUAGUAAACAGAGUCUGUCUUGUAAGGUACAGGGAGUCCUUAUCACAACUGCAGCAGCGAAGCUGUAUUUGCAGGCCAUUACUACUGUGCUGAAAACAGAAGUUCCAGUUCAGCAAAAUAAUGCGCACUAAAUUUUCACAUAUCACAGAAAAGUUUGUUCAAACUUCUGAGUGACUUCUUAAUAAAUAAAUCAAUUGCUAGCAUCCAUUCAUCUGGCAAGCCAACCUCUUAUGGUAACCACAAGUAAGAGAAAAUAUCACAGUGCUGAGAUGGUUACUUAGCAUGCAAAGUGUCCUUGCACCCUUUUCCCAUCUGUGUUGAUAUCCUUGUGUUGCUUUUUGUCUUCUACCCAGAUUGUAAGUUUUCUAAGACAUUGACUAAAUGGAAAAGCUAGACAAUGCUCAUGUCUCUUGAGUGCUAUAAUGUAUGAAUAAUAAUGAUACUAAUAGUAUCUGCUCAAGAAAAAAGGUGGGACUGGAAAUCAGAGACCGAUGUAGUCAGAAGAGCAAAUAUUAUAGUGAUACUUUAAAAUGACACUGAUGUUCUGCCAGGGCAAUGUUAGUAAAAUCAAAGAAAAACUUAAUGCAACUCUAGCAAGUAAGACAGAAAGAAAGCAGAGGAUAAAACCUUGAACUGGAAAAUCAGGAAAUAUUUUCUCAGCUUAGCCAUCACAAGCAGAGUAUUGAAAAGCAGUGAAGAAAGGCAUUGUAGCUGAUCCACAGGCGUUCAUGUAAUACAUCGCUAUUUUACUUUGAUUGAAUUGCAAAGAGAAAUCAAAACACUAAAGGGAAAAAAUUCAGAUUGCAGUAAAAAAUUAUAUGCAUUAUUUUAUUUCUUUUGUGUCAUACAGCUUCUGGGAUACAGAGUUUUAAAUUCUGAUUAUAUUAGUUGUACUUUCUUGGCAUGCAUUAUUCAUUAGUGUACCCUGAAAUAUUAGCCCUUUCCACUGGUGGUGCUCCAUAAGGAGAGAUGAACUGAUCUGCAAAGUUCAAACUGAAGGACUGUGACUUAAGUUUGCAUUUACUACCCCUUUUCAUCUGAAUUUCUGAGAUGCUACCACUGUGAAAUUCAGAUAUAGAUAACAGAUUUGUAAUCUAUUUUUGAAAGAUGCAGGAGAGAUAUAUAAAAUGAAAACUUUUAAUCCCAGUGAGUGAUGUAAAGUUAGAAUUUUUUAUUUUUUAUUUUUUUCCUCUCCUGGGAUACGUCCUAGAAGUUUAACUGGGAAAACUGGGAUGACAAUAAAGAUUAAGAGGGAAGGGAGAGACCCAGUUCAGGGAUGGAAUCAUGAUGGCAGUGUCACAACCUAAACCCAGCCUCUUAAAUCUGGUAACUGGCUUAGCUCUGGGCAUAUUGCUGAGAUGUGAGAUAGAUAUUUUCAGCUUCUGUUGUGGCAUAUUUCAUCACUUAACCUCAACUAACUUCAAGAGAAGGAGAAUUGAUUUGGUCAUCUAGUUAACUGAAAUGCUUAAACAAAAGUUUCUGUUAACAAUGGAAGCAAGGCUUUCAUGAAAAGCUUUGUCCAUCUUAAAAGAGAGUUCACAAAGCAAGGGAGAUGUGAUGGUGGCCACUAGAGAGUGUGAGGAUGAAUGUAAAGUGAAGUGCUGCUUGUGAAGUGCUGCUUUGCCCGUCUCAGGAGAGCAGCUGCCAAGCACACUUGAGAAAGAAAUCUGAAAUCAGACAUCUGUAUGUGCAUUGCGUCCACCAUGUUUGCUCUGAGGAGAGAGAACCAUAUGAAGCAAGACAGCAAAGGUGAAAUCCAGCAAGACAUCCUACUUUAUUGCCAUGGCAACCCCACCCUGAUGAAAAGUAGAAAAACAAUAAAACAUCUUUAGGAAAAAAAAAAAAAAUCAGUGCUAUCUACCAAGGGAAUUGAGGAAGAUGCACUUUAAGGAAGAGCUUGACGUUUCCACCAUUUGGUGACUCUUUGAAACAAAGGUAUGGCUAAAGCUUUUGCAAGCUGCAGAGUUAGAACAUAUUGUACUUGAUAAAUUAUUUACUUUGUUUAGCAGCUGAAUUCUGAAUUAUAAGUGAAAGCUGUAGUUACAGAUUAGAAUCUUUAAUGCCGCUGUAGCCAGACAGAAAAUUAUUGUUGUGAUUUUCCUUGAUGUCUUCUGACAUCUGUCACCCUUUAGCACUAGAAUCACCUUUCCCACAUUAGACUUUCCAGGAUGGGUGAAUGUGAGUGCAGAUAAGUAUGUGUGUGUGUGUGUGUCUUAUGCAAGCAGAUGUCUGAAUCUGUAUGUUUGUGCUUAUGAAGAGUUUUAUGCUGUUAUGCUUGCUAUAUCUAAAUGUGUUGAUUUUCAAGCAAAUUGAAGUAGAUUAUAUACAAGGCCCAUAUAGACCCCACUGGGUUCAGGAAGCCCAGCAGUUAAACAUCUGCUGGUAAAGAAAGCAGUGACAUGUCUUACAGUAUUCUAAUGAUGAGGAACCAAUAUGCCCCAGAAGACUGCUCAACGUGAGCUGCCGCACGGGCAGAGCUGGGGCAGGUGGAAAAGGCUCAUGCGAAGCGGUUUGUCUGCACAACUCUUGUGGGAGUCAAAGCUGCUCUGACACUCUCUCUCCCUGUCUGCAAAAGGCUACUGUGAUGGAGCAGCAGCUGCAGCGACACAGCCUGGUGCUCCCCGCAUGGAAGCCUUCUUGUACAGGCACAGAAAGGUGCAACAUCUACCACCCCCAUCCUUAGGGAAUCUGAUACAGUACAGUUGUGUUUGCCAAAAAUAAUCCUUUAAUUUUCAUCUUAUUUGCAAACAUUGUUUUUUGUAACUAAUUUGCAUGAACAACGAAUAUUAUAAUUCUGUACAGUAAUGAGAAAAACAAUAAGAUUAUCUUACCAAAGAGCACUUUUAAAACUAAAGAGAUUACUUUCUGUUUUAAAAAGCACACAUCAGAUGUGGCUGUUAGUGUUAGCAUUAACUGUAGCUCAGCCAUUACGACGGCAUUUCGAGAUCCUAUUUCAGGUUAUAUUUCCUGUGUACAAGGUGGUAGGUAUAUAAAAUAAUAGAAAAAUAAGAAUUUAUCCUACAGUGGGAUACGAAGGUGAGAAGUGAUUGCAAAUCACUUGAUUCCCAGGCCAGAGCUUUAUACAAUCACCUUCCUUCCCCUAUCUCCAUAUAUGUAACUUGGUAGAGAGAACAUCAUUCUUUCUUAGCCCUGCCUGCUUAUCCCUGUUCACACCACGUGCCCUACUGGUGCUGAGCUGCAGGUUCUUCCUGGCUCUCCAGCACACACCCAAAACCAUGGAGAGAGGGAAGUCCUCUCCAGGAGCAGACCCCUUGCUGCCCCAUCAUGUGAAACCCUAAGCUCUGCACCGACACUACGCAAUAAGAACACCGAGUGUUUAAAAGGAGAUCUAAAAUACAGUCCUAUAGAAAAGCCUAUGGAAACAGUUUGCCAGGUAUGAGAACACUUUUUGAAAGGGGCACUGAAGUUUAUUCCUUUUGUAACUGGAAGGAUAAAAAACUCAUUACUCUAGCAAAUUAAUAUCUUUCUUGCUCCAAAGGGAAGCUGUGACCUUCAGUCUCUACUACGUUCAUCAGGAACCACGUCAGAGUUUAAUGCAACAUUGCAUUAGUGCAUGAUGUAAAAUGGAGUUAUGAUCACAAGAACUUACAAUAAAUUUUCUGUGCCUAUGAGCAAUAACUCAGCAGCUGGUGUGUGCCACCUCUAUGCUGUGAAAAGCAUAUACAGGCUUUUCUUUGAAAUAGCAGCAAUUCAGAAAUAAGUUUGCUUAAAAAUACCCACAGAGAUGACAUGCUGUCUGGUACCAAAGAAAAGAAUGUUAGGGCUUUUUCAGAAAUAGUUCACUCAUGUGGGCAGGAAGCCUGUGCCAUGUGGCCAAGGCCAUGGAGACCUUGGAUAUUUCAGUGGAACACAGCACAAACUGAAGUUGCUUUAGAAUAUAAUUAACAGCUCAAACUUUCCUCAUUGAGGAUAUGGCAGAAAUAGCUUUCUCCUUGCAGUGUGCAUCACUCCUACUAAUAUUAAUGAGAGAUAUGGCUUCCUGUAUUUUCCGUCAAUAUUAAUGAGAGAUGCACGUGCCACUAAUGCUAAUGGGAAAUAGACAUGCGUGUAACUCCCAUUAAUGUUCAUUAGAUAUCCACAGGAGAACCCUCAUUAAUGCUAAUGAGUGUUGCAUGUAUAUGUAAUUCCCAUCAGUAUUAACCAGAGAUCUAUAUGCAUGUAUUGCCCAUUAGUGUUAAUGAGAGAUACACAUGCGUGUGGCUGGAACUGUCAUUAAUGUUAAUGUGAUGUAUGCAGGAACUGACAAAAGAAGAUACUUUAUCUUGAUAACAGAAACUUGCCCUUUGUGUUUGGGUUCUAGUUCAUCUGUAGGAAAUGCAUUUCUUUCUAUUAAUAAUCUAGUUUGGGUGUUACUUUGACUGUGUACUAAGUACCAUGCAAAAUGCAGAGAUCCAUUUUCCAGAUGACGUGAAGUCUCUGUCUAUGUCAGAUCAGAGUACAGCAAUUUGUGCAUUUAUGCUGGGUCAGUAUAUGGAGUUUGUGAAUGCAUGCUUUGAUUCUGUGGCUUUUCAUCAAAAUUCUCUUUCUUAAUGGCAAUAAAUCUCAACCAAGGCUGUACUCUGAUAGGCACUUGGGUAGUUGUGAUCUGCCUUGAACUUAGGUCCUGCCCACUAUGCUUUCAUUUGGCCUGUGACAUUUGUGGCAAUUUCUUUUACAAAAGUUCUUUUAUAGUUAGUUACGCUUAAUCGAUUAGAGGCUGCCUGUGGAGAGCGGGCCGAACUCUAUCCUUAAGUGAAACAAGUCAGUGGAAUUUACAAACUUGUGACACAUUCGCAUUGGCCUUUGCUAUUUCUGAGGCAUCGUCUAUCUGUGCAGAUACUGAAUUUUGCUACAUAUCUUUCAUAAGCCCAUAGAUACACAGUAAGCAGAAAAGACCUCGAAGUGUUAAAAUUAAGAUCAAUGUAAAAAAAAAAAAAGUCCCUGGAAUAUUAUUUUUUAAAAAUGUGAAAAGGCACAUCACACCAUAGCCUUAGAAAACCUUAGAGCUUCUUACCUGAUACAACAGUCUUAUUCUCUACUGACUACUACCAUAUACAGUCACUCCUGCCUUGCAAAGCAAGUGUAAUAAAACAGCAGGGAAGAGUAUCACACUUACUUUGCACCAUAUACAUGGCAUCUUAAGGAAACACCAAGGGAAGAUGUGGGUUUGUAAGAGCUACACCAGUGUAAGUAUCUUGUAUCCUUUUAAUUCCCAUAUCUGUUCCAGGACUGGUCUUAUUUGUCAGAACUGGGAGAUAACUGACUGAUCAAAAAGGGAACUUGGCAGCUCAGUAAGACACAUGCUGGUAACGAAAGAAAAACUUCUGCACUGUUACACUGGUUUAUGCUUAGAAAAACUUAAGAAAACUGAAAUGUAAUGCUACUGCCUUUAUCAGAGAGGGUCCACCUGCAAAGUAUGCUCAUGACAGUGGUAUACCUAGCCUAAGAAAUUCUUCGUCCACAGUUUAUCCCUCCACAGCCAUUUUUUCCCUGAAUCAUACCAGGGCUCUCAGUCAUGUGUUAUGUGCUAUGAGUUACACAAUCAAAAUUAUCUGUUUUAGAGAAAGCACACAGUAUUAGGGUGCUCUGCUGGGUUUUUUGUUUUUCUUGUGACCAGAUCAUUUGAAUCAUCCACUUUACCAAGGACAGUUGUAUCAACAUAGCUGAGGGAGGCUAAGGACUACUGUGCAAGGACAGCAACAAGCGUUUUGAGAAAGGUGGUUACCACAAGAGAAAAUGUCACAACAGAUCAUAUUCUGAGGUCCACCAGUGAAUGUCCUCAUGACAUCUGGAGCCAGCAUUCUCUAGAUUUUGAAGGACUAAGACCACACACUGGGGGACAAUUAGAAAACAAAUAAAACACCGUGGCUUCUUUUUCCUGUUAACCACUUUCUCUAGAUGCCCCAUCACACUCUUCAAGCUACACUGGCUUUUAAUUUCUUUAUUCCUACCAACCAGAAAGCAAGGGAGUUCCAAGUCAGAGGAGCAAAUACAAAAUGAAAACAAAACAAUCCCAAACCUAAAACCUAAACAAAAUAAUCACGAAGUGUGCUCCUGGAACAGCAUGCACUUGAAUCUAUGAGUAAGGAGUUAAUUUGGCACUGGGCUUCAUGUUAACAGAAGAUUAAGAACUAACAAAAGUCUGUCACAAAAACACAACUUAGGGCUCCAUUUUCGUUUCUGAGUAUGUAACCUUUGUUUACAUAUUUGCAGCUCUGGGGCUCAGCAGUGUAAUCAAGUGCUGCUCAUUUUAAUUAAGGGAGUAAAAUUUGCAUAUGCAAACUCCUCUCUUACUGGUGUUAAUGCCUCAGCAAUGCCAGCAGCUUUGAGAGAGCUAAGAAAACAAAAAAGGCAGAAAUAAAAAAAAAAUUCAACAAUUAAUUCUAUUUCACUAAAGCAAGGGAAGAAGCAGAGAUGACAAUAUAAAAUAUUUCCGGUCACAUAGCUAACAUGCAUUAACUGAGAUUCUGGUCCAGCUUUUAACUGAGAUGUUUUCACAGCUGACACAGAAUACUUGUCCUGUCACAGACUCUGAAGUAAAUGACUCAAGCUCAGGUUUUGUUAUUCUGUGGGAAAUCCAGGCAUAGAUAAAAACACUUGUAAUCUUGAGUGAUUGCUAUUUACAGAAGAGCUCCUCCUUUAUGCAGCCUGGAGAGAAGCUUAUGGUUUGAGAAGCAAACACUGCACCUCAGGCUUUCACAGGAUGGUCCAGCUUCCUGCUCCGCCUUCCCUUUUGGGUCACUAGAAGCAUGCAGACUCUCUGCAGGGGGAUGCUGACAAGAAUCAGUGCAAGAAAAAGUCAAGUGCCUGCAUUAAUUUAAAAAGACAAUAAAUUCCAUGUGUUUAAGACAAUGCCAUUGAGAUAUUCACAGAUACACCAGAAAACUAAGAUUUUCAGGCAAGCAUGCCAGGGUGACCAGGGGACUGGAAGAAGUUGUGUUUUUUCCAUGUUAGUUUAACUAUAGGAUCAUCCAGCAAAAUUUAGACAGUGGUAUUAAUUCCCACUGAUUUGCUCACCUCCAAAAGGCAGGUCCCUCUUUUUAAGAGAAAGACAAAAGCUUGGCACAAUAUAAUGCUCCUUGGAGCAAUUUCCCUUUCCACACAAGCACCUGAGUGGUUAGAAGGGAAUCAGUCCUUUGAGCAUACUGAAAGAGUACACCAUGGAGAUGCAUUUGUCUGUAUUAAUAUGGGAACUGCAACAUACUACAAAAUACUGUACAACAAUAACAGGGUCCAGAGGAGCCACUGUGGUCCAUUGAGUGAAAUAUGCCUUUUUAGACUUGCUCAAAUACAUAUUUACAUGAUAGACCAAAAAUACAGAGCUGGUCUGUUGAAUAAAUGCUGCAGCAAGCUUCAGAGCUGUUACAGUCUCUUGAGUAAAUAAUAACAACUUUUAAAAUGGUCCAAGCAUGUACUUCACAAUGUGACAGAAUAGCUUCAGAGAAAACUAUUGUGUCAAUUCUUAGGCAUGUCCAGGAGUGAAUUCCUUUCUUUUCCUAUUUGUUUUAUGCUUUAGCCUGACUUUACAUAUGCCACUUGCAUAAUAAUGCACAGUUCUUUUCAGUCCCUGGGCACAAAUUAUAAGAAUCCUGUUGCAAAUUCAGCCCAUACUAAAGUGAUUUAGCUGCUGUGGUUUUAGGCAAGAGCCUCAGUAAAUAUUUUAAUAUAAGCUGAGAGUAGGGGGAAUGAAAGGUGAUGAUGAGAGAGGCAAAGAUAUUUUCUAACAAACUGGGAAGAACUGAAAUGGUUUCCACCUACUGCAGACUAUAACUUUCCCUUUAUUUUCUGUUGUAUUUUUCAACAUGACUCUUCUUUCCUAAACUAAUAAUGGAUGGUAACCUUUUCUUAAUACUCCAUUUCAUGAGAUAGAGAAAAAAAAUCAUCUUGAUCCAUGUCCAUCUUUAGACUCGAUCAUAACUUUAUUUCAUCCUAUGACUUGAAAAGGCUUACAGAGAAUAAAACUAAUCAUGAGUCUGGUUUGCCUUCUCUGUGAAGUACAACAAAUUAGGACUAUGCAAAGAAUUGAUUCCUACUAGCAGUUAACAAGAAGUUGGUUGUCUAAUUAUCCAGGGCCAAGCUACGCAUAAUUGACAUUCCUACUGCCUAGGAACAGCUGAGUUAACAGGGUUACAUUUUGUUCUCACAUCUCUAAAUCAGGAGGUAGUCCCCUCAAUUAUACAACUGCAACUGCGAGUAGAAUAUUUGCAUCUGAAAUACUUUUAUGACCUGUCCUAUGAGCUCUGCUGAGAAUUGCCUCGAGGAGGUACCCCUGACUCUUUCCUGGUCCCACAAAAAGCAGUCAGCUGGCUCCAUGGAGCUUCUCUGCACUGAAGAAACCCAGUGACCUUCUUCGCUCGGGAAAGAGAGAAAUCAAAGUGUUCCUUUCCUGUGAAGAUGACAUGUGAUUUGUCAGGUGAGAGAAGAUCAAUAUUCUAUGGACAAAGGCCUGGACUCAUAUACUGUUAUAUUGCAGUUAAGCAAAUGGUUUAAAGCUGACAAGACAAAGUGGUAGCACUUCCACAUGUGCCAAGUCCAUCAAGCCAUAGUGCCUCUUAACACUAAAAACUGAAUUAGUUCCUCCACAGACUGCUGUUUCAUUUAGCAGAAUGCCUGCAUUGCACUACACAGGACCACAGUCCAAGGAGAGUUACCAAAUUCACAUGAAAAGGUCUACUCAGGCACUUGCUUGAAGAUGCCAAGGAAGAAGUUAAAUACCAGACAACUUAUUGAAGAGAGCGACACGCUCCCUAUACAUGUCAAAAGCUCUGAUGUCUUCCACCAGAUAAAACCUGGGAAGAGGGUGCACCACACGCUCUGGUCAGACCCAUAACUGGAUGGCGUGACACAGUAUUUGCUGUGCAGCUGUUCAUGCGGUGCAAUGCACAUGCUUGUCUGUUGUGAACUACAGAAAUGCCAAGCAAGAAUCACUGCUGCCAGUGGGCUUCUUAGUGCCAGAUCAAAGCGAUCUGGUGCGAUGCCAACAACUGCUCCUGACCUCUGCCAGCGCCACUGAACUCAGCGUCCUUCACUGAGCUACCCACAGAUCUAGGAAAACAUUCUGUUUUGUCUUUACUUGGCAACUUGCAUAUUUAGAUCCUUGCAGUUCAGGAUUUCACACUUGUCACCUGGUCAAACAGCACUUUAUUUAGAAGAAACUAAAUCAGACCUCUUAAGCAGAACAUAUGCCAAUACUAUCUUGAUUAACUAACAAUCAUUACUAUACCCUGUCAUCAGUUUCCAGAGACACAUCCAUUAAAGCAGCUAUGCCUAUUCAGUAUGUCCCAAUUAAGUACAGUAUACAGUAAUAAUAUUCUGUAUUUAUAUAAGUCAUUCAUCCUCAAGCACUUUAGAGAUUAUGCAGUGUUCAGAUACCACUUUGAUGAGUGUAUUAUAACUGCCUCCAUGGAGCCACAUUGAACCGCGGCAGCUUUUCAAGAGCAAGACAGCAGUCAAUUGGCAUGGCGGUUUCUGAGCUACCACGGAUGCAGGAACAACGUUGCAGUUUUCCUGAGAUAAACCCAUGACAUUAAAUAAAAAAUAAAAUUUAUUGAGUUUUUGAAUCUCCCUUGGGAAGAAUGACAUUUAGCUUUAGGUCUCAUCAGAACAGACUUCAAUCAAUUUAACUUGAAUAAAUAGCUAAGACAUCUCUUCCUAUACAUAAUUCCACAGAUCCUGCAGAUUAAAUAUUUAAAAAUCUAUUGUUUGGAUUGCUAAGCUCCCUUUGCCAAUGACUGAAUGCUGAAUUAUUGUUGGAUCUGCUUUCCUCCCUUUAUUAUCUAAUUUCACUUUUAUUUCCUCUUUCCACUGUAAAAAGUAUUUCUGACUAACCAUCCACUUCUAGAGCCCUUCAUUUUUUGUUAUAAUUCUCCAUUUUAUAAACACAGAGAAUAUCUCAUCUUUAGCCACAUUGUCUAAAUGACAGUGGGAAUGAAAAUGAGGUACGGAAUGAUUAGCUAUUACCUUAUUCUGCAAGUUUUGUGCAAUAGUUUAUAGACACGGCAUGUGCAGCAUCUUCUUCAGUCCAGCUGUAACAAAUGCAAAUACUUCCCUUUCCUUGAUAAACCUUUUCCCUUAAGUUCACUUGGGGUUGUACUCAAACUUGAAGCUGUUGAAAUGCCUAUGGUUAAACAACCAGUCCAGCUACUUACUGAGAACAACCCACCCAGCUACUUAUUGUGGACAAACCUUUCCAUCUGCCUUAUUUAUCAAAUAUUACCUUCAGCUAACAGAGAAUUUAAACUAUUUGUUUAGGUGGUCCUGUUGUCAGCUGGAUGAGGACUGUAUUUCCCCAGAAGAAGGUGACUGUUUAUAUGUCAAGGACGCCAAUAAGUCUUUGCAGACCUAUCAUUUUCUUUUGGAGAUGUCAGUUUCCAGUUCUCCUGAACUUCUCCUGUGUUUUGGAAAUCCUAUUAAAAUACCAACAAUAAAGUGCCAUAUUUCAAAAUGCUUUUACAAACAGAAGCUCGGUAAGGUUAUGUGUUUUAUUGCUGUCUUCUCAUUAUUCAAAAAAUGAUGAAAAGCUUUUGCUCAAACUUUCUAAAAUAAAAAUGUUACUUUUGAGAAGGACUAAGUUCAAAUAGCUGUAUAAGCCCCCGCGUAGCUCCAGCAUACGCUUACCACUUGUUGCAAGGGGACUUAGUUCACUCUUACCUAAUACAUUUGGUUUGAAUACAGACAUUUCUCUGAACUGACGUUGAAGUACUGUGAAGUUUAGCCUCAGAGGUAAAUGUUUUGGAAGGUUAAUAGCCUGUGGAAAUAGAGGAGCCCUAUGUUAUGUUUAGUACUCACUAUGGCUGAAAGAUGAAAUAGAGACGCACUUCACUCAGCUGCUGAAAGGCAGCCACCUGUGGGGAGUAAUGUGCCAGCUCUUUAGUGCAACACUGCAAAACCAUUUAAGUGGGAAGUGAAGCGUUAUAGCUCAGGCCAAAGAGAGUGUUUGCCAUCGUUGUUACUGGACAGCAUGACAUUUUUCUCUGGGUGGAAGGCACUGUUUGUGUAAUGCUAUAUUUCAAAAGGAUUUGGCUUUGGAUACACAGGAAAUGGGACCCCGCCAUCAGUAAUCAAUAACUCACUGCCGUGGACCAAUCUCCCUACUUAGCACUGCAAGAAACCAGCAGAGGCAAGAUCAUGGACAAAGCAAAUGUUACUUAAUGUGAAUGCCCUUAAAGAGAGACUCAAAUGUUUGGUACAACCAAAUAGCUAGAGUUAAUUUCUCUUACAAAUUCAGGUUUAACUUUGAUCUGAAUUUCAACCAAGCCAAAUCUAUUCACUGUACAAAACAUCUUCAUCCUUUCAGGACAGAGGUAGGAGGAAAAUGGGAAAGCUUCGGAGAGGAUUUGCAAGAGACAAGACAACAGAAAAGUAAACUGCGUAAGACCAACAAGCAUAAUUCUAAUUCUCUGAGAUAAUUUGUUAAAAGAAACCACACACUAUGAGGAUUUAAUGUACUAAUUGCGGUGCUUUCUUCCUCUCUGCUUUUCUUUGCUUAAGCUCAAGAAAUUUAUUUUCCCCAAAUUCACAAUGCUUUUUCAGAAGAAAAAGUACCAGCAUGGUUUUAGAAAUCAUAAACAUGCGAAAUUGCAAGAUUCUGUUUGGAAGAAAUUUCCUUAAAUGCCUAGAUGCACUUUAGCCUCAAGGUGGCAACAUUGAAUAAUAUUCUGAAGAAAGAGAUGCUUCAUACAUAGGUGCCUUUAAUUAAAGUUUUAUGUUUUUAAGUGAAUAUCCUUCUCUCCCAUUUUUUUUCAGAAUAUGUUGAGAGAAAAAUGUGAUGAGGUAUUAUAUAUGUGCUUCAAACAAUCCUGAUCACACAUUAUGCAAAAUUAUUUGCAAUUAAAAUGAAAGCAAACAAACAUAUAAUAUAUACAUAAGCUAGCCCUCCCAUACCCUCUGUUUAAAAGCAAUUAAAAAAAAAUAAAAAAUAAUUCCUUUUCACAGUAUUACUAUCAAUAUGACCUUAACCCUAAACCAAAACUGGUACUGUUUCUUUCAAACUGGACCGUGCAAUUAUGCUGCAUUACUUCACCUGCACUCAGUAAAUGCUGUGAUUUAGAAUGUAGAUCAGGUAAGAGGAGGUGGCAUCGCAGGUAUUGCACUGCAUGGCGGCUUGAGCUGGGUGCCCUGCAGGUCAUGGGGCAAAGCACUGUGUGAACUCAAGAGGGGCUGAGAGUCAGUAAAGGAGCUUGGCCCAAAACAUUCUGUGGAGAACAUGAGGAAAAAAAGGAUUUUAAAUAACGUUUAUAGAUGUUACAUUUUUUUUCUAAAAAAGAAGAAGCAAAUGUAAAUCUGUGGGUGGAUAUCUGUCUUUGGAUUAUUAAGAAGAUAAUACAUCAUUCUAUGAAUUUCUUAAUCUUUCUGUCCUAAUUAUUUUUUCACUGAUUUCCACAGUGCUCAGUGAUUUUUGACUUCUGUAAAAUCCAGUGUUUUCUGCUAUCCCACUGAUUACUGUCCUUGUGGCUACAUGAAGAAAGGUAUUAUACAUGGAACUGAAAUUAUGUUUUACACCAUCCUCACUGGUGAGGCUACAUCUGCACUGCUUUGAGCAUUCCCUGCUAGGAAAGCAUGGUAGAUUUAAAGAAAAAAGAAGACUUAACUAGGGCAGCCAGCAGCAAAAAAAAAUCCUCAAAGUUCAGAAGACAGCAACUAUUGUAUUAAGAGUGGUUAGGCAAGAAAACCAACUGCUGAAUCUGCCCUGUCUAGAGAAAAGAUGACAUGAUAACAGGCUGUGAGUACUUAGGAGGAAUUAAUAAAAAGAAGGUGGAAGGUGGUGUGGGAGGACUGUUGGCAGCAUAGGGAAAGCAGGUAGAAGUGUAGUAAUAGCUUAAAAUUACUGAAGGAAAAAAUGGAGAUUAAAUAGUACAAAAUGAGAGAAGAGGGAGGGCAACAUGGCAGAGACGGUCACUGAUUUCAAGGCAAACACUCAUUCCUGAUGAUCAUGUCAACCUACAUUGUUUGCAGAGGCUGGAGAAAAUGACUCCAGAUCUUCUCAGCUCUAAUAUAUGUGAGUGAGAGCACUCCUCUCCAUGGCACUAACUCCAGGAGGAGCGUUUCACCCAGAGCCCUGCUGCCAGAUGGACUGCGCACCCUGCUGGGCCUUCACCUGCCUGGCAGCCUGGAGCUUCACAUGGGAUUCUCCAACCUGAACGAAGGAAAGAACGCCUUGCUAACAAUUGCUCCUGUUGGCUUUGGAGAGGAGCUGAUGUAACAUAAAGCAUAAACGAGAACUGGAGAACAGUUAGAUGGAGUACCAUUAGUUCAGCUGGAAAAAGUGACAUUGAUGAAUCAAUGACUUAAAAACCAAUUAGUUUGCAUAAUUUCUGACAGAAGGUUGAUUUUGACUGCAUAUCCACCCCUGAGCAAAAGUGAACAGUAAACUAUUAUCCUUCCAAACCAGAGACAAAGGCCAUUUAGGAGGGAAGGAGAAGAAAAUAAGGCUGCAGUCCCUUCCUGUCUAUUCUUACCCACCCACCUACUUCCCUAGUAGAGUUUGUAAACAGGCAAAUUCUCCAAUACUGUAAUACCUCUAGAAAAGAGAUACAAAGCAGCUCCCUCAGGGUAUGAAAGGGGUUCCUACUAUGUGAUACCACAGCUGCAAUCGUGCUUUUAAAGAUUAGCCGUAUUUCUAGAGGGGUUUCAAAAGCUUUUUGGAGGCAAGCUCUCAACUCCUUUUUAAUGCAUCCACUCCAUAAUUUUCAAUGCACUUUGUCAUUAAAGUAGACUCGUUACCUUUGGCAUUUCUAUUAAAAUGGCAUGUUCAGAAAAGGAACAGUAGUUGAAUGAGUCACUGGCAAGAAAGCACAGGUAUCACAGAAGGAAAAAAGGAUUAUUAUUUCUAGGCACAUUCUCUUGGAAAUUGAAUAGACUGGAUGAAGAACUGGCGAAGUUGUAAAGAAACCAGAGCACCAUGGGGUAACAAGGCAGAAAAGCAAAAUUAACAGAAUCCCAACCCUAUACAUUCAGUUCAGACUCCAUGUUCUGAAAAAAAAUCAUAACACAAAUAAUAGAGUUUCUGUACACUCUGAUAUCAGAUCAUUCACUAAAGCAAAUAUGACACUAAAUGUUUGUGAGCAAGUGUACACAGCCUGCUCCUGUGAGACAGCCCAAGCUAGAAAAGGUUUUGAGAUUACAGCUGCAGUGGAUGAGUAAACAGGAUGGUCUCAGUAUAAGAAUCUUACAACACUACAAGUUAAAAUGAAUUAAGCAAUGAAAAUGCAGGAGCAAAAUAAUGUAUAAUAGAUAAACAAAGCUAGACCACUGCGCCAUUUGGAAAGCUUUGCUAUAAAUAGAAAAGUCUUUAUCAAAAACUUUAUCAAACACCUCUGGCCCUUUCUGGUUCUGGUGGGAUUUCAUUUUGCAGGCUUAGAUCUGAAGAACAAAGCAUCCAGGUACAAGCCCCAGCCACAUGGUGCUCACGCUUGGCAUACAGAAGAGCAAAGGUAGUGCUGGGUUCCCUAAUCCCACAGCUGGCACAGGAAUAGAUCAGUCCCAGGCACAUCACUGUGCAGCCACAGUGUUUGUAUCUCCCUCAUGGAAUCACUGAGCACCGUUAUGUCUAGUGCCCUUUUGCCCUCCCUAAGGCACCCUCUAGUUCCUGAGGGAGGGGUGGAGAGAGGCAGCACCAGUGGGUACACACUGCUGCAGAGUUCCCCUGUUCUGGAUCUACCCUGAGGCAGUUUAGUAUGUCCCAUCAAUUGACUUGUAGAGUCCGAUGGGGCUUUAUGCUGCCACACAUGGCUCAUUUCACUUACCAGCACUGUCUUUGCAAGGUGCAAGAUUCCAAAAACCCAGUGCCUCAGGCUAAACACUUAAGGCAAAGCACCUCUAAAGGUAUAACAGAUUUUACAAAGCAUACUAUAAUAGUAAAUUUGAAUAGUCACAUGCUCUGAUGAUUUGUGCUUUAAUUAUUAUGCCUCUUCUCUCCUACUCUCCUGAGAUAUGCCUAUUUUAUAUUCAAUAAGGACUCUUGAUGAAGAUGAAUGAAAGCCUGUGAUUCUUAACUUUGCUCAGAAAAAAAAUAUUUGGUGUGUUAGUUCAUAUUCUGAUGUGCUAGAUGAAAAGUUCUCACACCCAACAAAAUUAAGAGUAGGACAGUCAGCAAAAAUCUACCAGGUCCAAUUCUGGCUAUAAUAAUUCAUGGUUUUGCCAGGGUCUCUUUUACUAAGCAGAAUCUUAGAAAACCCUUUUUCUUGAUGAAAUCAUGCUGCGAUAUACCGUUGGGACAGUGGCUUCAUCCUACUUAGUGAGACAUACGUCCAAUGCACAUGUCAGAUAGCUAAAAUGGGUUUGGAGGGCUGUCGUGUUUUGUUUUGUUUUUCUAAAAAGCCUACACAGAAAAAAUCCUUUGCCUUUUGGAUUGUCUUGCCAGUUAGUUCAAGGCCCUGGAUAUGGUUCUACCUUUUACUAGCAAGUCGGUCAUAUCUAUAGUCUCAAAUGGAACAUGUUGUACCAUUUACAGCACUGCCUCUGAAUAAAUUUUUGGUGUUUCCACAUUUUGCCUUUCCUGAAAGAAUCCACUAUAGGAGAGCAGAAAAAAAUGAAAUUCAUGUUGAGGAAAACUUUCAUAAAAAGAAAAAAUACUAUGGCAGAAGCAGCAGGUCAUUCUGUAAGAUUAAUUUGCUGAAUUUUAAUGUAUGCCAAAAGCAGGAUGGCAUGAGUCAAAUUGGAUUUGAAAGCUGUGAGAAUCUCCUGUAAUAAAAACCAUAUUUGCUACUGCUACAUUAUUCCUAUUUGGUCUUAGAUUCAGGGGACAGCAGAAUGAAAUAAGGAAUAAAAACAGUUAUAGUAAAUAUCCUUCCAAAUGACUGUGCAAUGCUGUGCAACUUAAAAUCACAGCCCCAAAGAACAGGAUUUAUAUUAAGUUUCUUUAAGUUGUCUCCUACCAACAAUGUCAUAUUGAUAGAAUACCUGAGGGGAAGCUUUAAGGAAGAUUAGCAAAAUAAUCCUUUCAUGCUGGGAGUUGCAUUUUUCCACUUCAACUGCCAUUGCUAGCAAUGAAAAUGUGGGCAAAACUGACAGUAAAAGAUGAUAUCAACAGAAGUCAGAAUCUGAGUGUCUUCUGGAGUCAGCUUAAAUUGUGUGUUAACAGACAGCUACUUCGUUCUUUCAGUGAAAAUGUAUGACCUAUAUUAUAUCAGCAUUUGUUAAUGAAGUCUCACCAAUUCAGACAAUACUGUAUUAAUUUAACCUGCUUUAUAAAUUUUUUUUUUUUUGGUCUGGGGAAUAACAAUCAAGUGAUAGGAAGGUUAGCAUUACAAUUUUCCAUUUAUUUUCCAUUUAACAAAUUUUGAAACAUGCAAAGAAAUUCUACAAACACUGUCUAAAUCUUGUGAGGGACGUAAGGGUUUUCUCACAACACUUAAUAAAGCUUAUCUUUUUCUCAAUCCCACCUGCAAUGACAGAUCAAGGAGAUUUUUCUUGUUAAAAAAAGGCUGCCUCCAGAUACAUUUCUUUCUUUAAAGGACAACAUAUGGAUAAGAGUUGAGCAGAACUGCUACAGUCAAAUGUGUAAACAGCAGUAUUUGACCUGGCAGCUGUGCUGAAUAGAAACACACAAUCUCCUUAAAAGAUACCAUACACAAGUAGAUUUACAUGAAAAUCACUGGCUUGAGGUUUUUUUUUCCUUCUUUAUUUUUUUCCUGUUCCUGCCAGAGAUAUUUCAUGAUUUUAUUUCUGGUGUAGGAUCCUACUUCAAGCACAAACUCUCAUGAAUAAUGUAGCUGCUCUCUUGAUGUAGCCAUAGGUAAUAUUCUUAUUACCCAAUCGUAUUUUAUAUUAUCCUUGCUAUAAAAUAAGUCACAGAGCGAAGAGGGCAAAACAUUGCACCACUUAGGAUGAAAUGCAGCAUCAGUCAGCAAAGAUCUACAGUCUUUGUGAGAAGUAACAUAAGACCUCAGGGACACUCAGAGUGGGUCAACAGACCCUAUGUGAUACAAACUAGCGUGGUUUCAUCAAAUGAACCUGAGAGAAGAAAACCUUACUUCAUUUCCUUCCUGCACAGGAAAUUUUAAUCAUAGGCUAAAGAGCUGCACCACAGAAUUUCUACUGCAGAUGGGAGAAAAAUAUUUUUUUGGGCAGUUUACUGUGAAUCCUGAGAUGCCCACAAUGAGACAUUUUCCAAGUAAAAGUGAUCAUUUGUUGGAAGUUUGUGCAUUAGCCCUGCACAAGUCCAUUUGACCAUAAAGAUGCAACACAGUGGGAAAGCAAGCCAAUUUCCUCUCUUUUUGAGCAUCCAAAAUCAAAAGAGAAAAAAAAGAACAGUAACAGCAGACCAGGGACCUGACUAUGAUCUAACUCUACUUUUUUGUCCUGAGGUGAGUUACUCUACUGCAGCGUACUUUCAUCUAGGUCAAUAUGAGGAUGGAAUCAAACCAAAUGGAUUUACAUCAGUAUAUGCCUUUGCAGUUACUACAAAAAAAAGUCCCUCAGUUUCAGAGCAGUUAAAGCUACACUUUGUCAUAGAGCUUGAGAGAGGAGGCAGAUCCCAUCUCCUGUGCCCCUACGUGACACCAGCUAGUGAAUUUACAACUUUUUUCUCUGCUAUGGAGACUUGUACUCAUUGAGAAUAGGAUCUGAGCCUGAUGGUGGCAUCCACUGUUGUGUUCCUCACCAAAUAUAAUUUCCACCAUUACCAUAAUGUUAACCUCAACUGCUUUCCAGGGGUUGCUGUUUUUUCAGCCAAUGUCAGAAACGGAGACACUGGGCGUUAGUAUAGAUUGAGCCACCUCCCAAAAUGCUCUCUGCUAAUCCUAAAAUCACUGUAGCUACCCUGUAGAUGUAGUAGUACUCAGUCCAGUGUCUCAAAGGCGGUGAUAUUUGGUACUGAGAAAAAUCUCUCCAAAGUUCUCCCAUCCUCCACAUUUUUCAAAGUUACCAGGAUCUCACAGCAGGCAGCUCCAACAUCAAGUACUUUCCUGUUUUUGGCCUGGAUCUUUUGCUGUCAGUGAACUUUGAAAUUGCUUAGCACCUCAGAAGACUAAUUACUAAUCAACAUGCCACCUCUCUAUCAGAUAUAAGCAGUCUCAUAUAUUUUCUGUUAAAUAAAAGCUAUAUUCCACAGAGAUUUUUCAGAACAUUGUGCUGAUACAUCUAAAUAGCAAAACACUUUUAGGCAAGAUAGCCAGUUUUCCAGCUGGCUAACCCCAAGUAAUAAAAAACAUAAUUGUAUUAACUCUACUUCUUUUUUGUUCAUAACUUAAAGUCUCUUAGCAAAUGCAUGUAUAAAAAGAGACCUCCAGUAAUAGCCACAAUCUCUAGAUAAGUGCAUGGAAACUCUUAAGAAAAGAUCCUCCUGCACUGUAGAUUAUUGCUUUUAAUGUACCUAAACAUUAAAAUUCUAAUAGCAGACGAGGUGAAAUGUGAAUAACAACAACAACAACAACAAAGUAUUCCUUUGUAAAGAUGACUUGGAGGCAAAAAAAAUAAAGGCGAGUUUUUUUGUUUGUUUGUUUGUUUUUUUCCCUAACUGAUUAGGAUGGGGUCCUCAUACCUUAUGCCCCCAAAAUAGCCAGUGACAGAUUGCAUAUGCUUGGAUUUGUUGGUGAUGUGAGCUCAUCUGAAUUAAACCAAUUAUCUCAAAAUUACAGUAAACUGAAAAGUAUGAAUUUUAUUUUUUUCCCUUUAAAACAUGUAUUAUUCCUGUGUGUUGCCUCAACUUAGGAAAUCCUUCUUGAUCUCAUUCUUCUUGCAAGGGAGAAGAACAACAUGUUUUGUUUCACGUAUGUGUAAAACAACUUUUUUCCAUCUUUACGAUGAAUUUGAUAUAGUUCUGGGAAAAAACAAAUUUGCAUCUGAGCUAGAAAAUCAACAGUAUAAUAAAAAUACUGUUGCUCAUAGAAUUGUUUAGGUUGGAAAAGACCUUUAAGAUCAUUGAGUCCAAGUGUUAACCUAACACUGCCAGGUCCACCACUAAAUCAUGUCCCUACGAACCUCAUCUAUGCGUCUUUUAAACACCUACAGGGACAGCAAUUCAACCACUUCCCUGGGCAGGCUGUUCCAAUGCUUCAAAAGCCUUCUUGUGAAUAAAUUUUUCAAAAUACCCAAUCUAAAGCUCCUCCAAAGCAACCUGGGGCCAGUCUAUCUCAUCCUAUCACUUGCUGCUUGGGAGGAGAGACCAACCCCCUCCAUGCUACAACCUCCUUUCAGGUAGUUGUAGACAGCAAUAAGGUCUCCCCUCAGCCUCCUUUUCUCCAGGCUAAACAGACCCAGUUCCCUCAGCUGCUCCUCAUCAGACUUGUGCUCCAGACCCCUCACCAGCUUUGUUGCCCUUCUCUGAACUCUCUAUCCAGCACCCCAAUGUCUUUCUUGUAGUGAGGUGCCCAAAACUGAACACAGGUUUCGAGGUGGGGCCUCACCAGUGCUGAGUACAGCAGGAUGAUUGCUGCCGUGGUCCUGCUGGCCACACUAGUUCUGAUACAAAUGGAAUGAGAGUGAGAGAGACAGAGGGAGGAACAAGAAGGAAGAUAAUGACCAAAUAGGUAAAACAGUAAAUAAUCUUCACUCAAAACUGAAGACUAAUUGAGAAUACAUUAUAUUUCCUUUCAUAUUUUUAUGAAGUAGGAUAAAAACAUAGAUAAUUAUUACACAACGAUCUUUCCACAUACGUAUAUGAUCUCAUCAUUCUGAUUUUGAUUUAAAGGAUGGUACCUUGGUCCAACUCACAGCAGAAUAAAAUUUCAGGAGAACAGGCAUUAUCCCCAUCACCUGGUAUCUAACUGCCUUAGAAGCCUGCUAAACUUCGGGUUUACAUCUUUUUGUAGAAAGCAACAUAAACAACAGCACCAGUUUACAGGAAGGGAAAUGAGGAAUAUAGCUUUUGAGACCCAGACCUCUCUGAGUUAUUGAUACAUCUAGUCCCCUAAAUAAAAAUCUAGGCCUGUGUUCAGGAUGACACAGAUUACUGGUAAUAGCACUAGAAAUCACAGCUAGAUUUAGAAAGCUCCAUUCGAUUAGUGACUUACCAACAACACAGUGUUGCUCCCUACAUUUUCAAUGCUGAUAGAAUUUUUCUAGAUAACUUUCAUGAAGAUGUAAACUAGCUUUUUCAAAAUAAAUGUGGCUGAAUAAAAUUUACAUAUACAAGCUUUAAAAUUCCAGAAUUACUUAUAUAUUAGAAACAGGAAAGGGUCAAGACAUUGAUAAGAAAAUAUUAUAAUUAAAACUGUAAAGGCAUGGGAAUGCUAUGCUGAACUUCGUUAUAGAGGAUAACGAGACAAUACUUCAAUCCCACAUAACAAGUGUGAUUUUUCUAUUAUCUGCAAAUAAAAAGUCAUACAGGACUAUUCAGACAAAAUUACUUGAAGGCAAGUCAGAUCUUAUAUGCAUAUUAUUUCAAUAAUGUCCACUGAGGUAUUUUUAUAAACUUAUUGUAAUGAAUGAAUCUGUACUGAACUCUUUCUAGUUUUUGAAAGUUUUUAAAUUAAGGAAAGCAUCCUAAUUUGCACAAUCCAUGCUUAGCUACAUAACUUAUUUCUGCUAUCAUUUCCUCUUCACAUUACAUGGUAAUAAGAGAUAUUACUAUCUGGUUCAAGCUUUCUCCUGAUUCAGCAGUUUUAAUGCUAUGACAUUUUAAAGCCACGGAUUUCAGAGUCAGUUUGAAGAUAAGACAAAUAGUUUCAGGCUAAGUGGAGUUUGCCCAACAUUGCUUGUCCAUCGUUUUAACCAGAUAUUUAAUUGGCAUUAUAGCAGGAAGGAAUACAUUGUGAAGGAAAUCAUAAGGUUAUUUCAUGAUUUAUCUGACAGAACAGAUUUUUUUAAAUGUUCAAUGGAAAAGGAUAUGAAAACUAACUCAUAACAAAACUUGGGACUUUCAAAACCAAAACAGAAAAAUUAUUUUCUUUUUCUUAGAGAUGGGAAAAAGAGUAUUGGAAAACUUCAAAAUGUGAUGUGAUAAAUAAUGCCGUAUAAUUGCCUCACAUUAAAUGUGGCUUCAACUUACAUUAAAAUUAUUUAGAGAUUAGGAUUCACUAAAGACCAAAGUUCAUCCUAAUUUGCCCAACUUUGUGCUUGAAAUAUGAGAUAUUGGGCCAUGCUGGAAUCAGAAGAUAGAAAGACAAAUUGCUAUUAUUCUUUCUCUGUUGGACUGUGCUUUAAGAACAACUCAGAACUAGGUCUUACAUUAAAAACAGGGAAGAAGUGAAUCACAGAAUUCAAAAACAUCUGAGGCAGGUGAUUAGAAUUAGGAACAUCCCCAGGACUGAUCAGUUUGGGUUGGCUACAUUAUAUUGAAAGGCAGAAUCAACUGUAGCCUAAUUUCAGGCUGUUGCAUUUGGACACCAUAAUCCAAAAUAGUUGCUGUGGAAGGUCACACUAAAGGAAGUUUCUUUUGAUUUUUCCAAAGGGACUGGUUGCAGGAAAUGGUAGAAAUCCCACUAAACCUCAGAAGACUAACAGUGUACUAGAAGACCAAAGCUAACUACUCUUUUUUAGGACGCAAAAUGGUCUCUCUACCCAUUUUGAAGUCUACCUGCACAUAUGGACAUUGAUAUUAAGGGUUUUUUUGAGUUUUGUUUAUAACUAUACCAAUCCUAAAGAGCUCUGGAGGAAUCUAAGGGGAAAUAUCUCAAUUUCAUAUUGUUUUCAAAAUUAUUCCUGAAGCCUUCUAAAUGUAUGUCCAUACAGGUUAAGCAAUAGACCUACUUCAGAUAUUUAUGAUGCAAUUAUUCACAGUUAAAGUUCUAUUCCAAAUUGUAAUUUUGCCAAGGAGACAUAACACCUGUCUUAUUAUCACCUAUAUGUUAUCAUCAUUGGGACAGUUUAUGAUGCUGUAGCAUCUCAGUCUCACCAACAGAAAUUGCAUAGCUUGUUAAACACAAUAAAUAUUCAUCAAUUGCUCCUUGGCCAAAUAUAGUGAUGCAUGCAGAGCUGUUCAUCACUAGCUGCCGUUCCAUGGUGUGAGAUGUGUAGUGUUGUUACUGUAGAAGAAUAAUAAAAUAUAAGUAAAACCCCACAAUUUGCCAGAAGCUAAUAAAUAUAAUUCAUUGAAUUUCAUUAGAUUAAGAUUCUUGAACGAGAAAGCCAUUCACAGAUAUAAAAAACUUGCAUUCAGACAAUGUAUACUUCCAUUUUACAAUCCUCUCCCAUUUUCCGUAACAUCCUGUUUUCUUUCACUGAUCUGUCCCAUCAUUCAACUAACAUACCUUCCAAAAUCUUUUUCUCUCCAUUAGUAAUGAACCCUUGCAUACCCCGGGAAAUCAUCUUCUUUAUAUAUAAAAAAAUACUUCACCAAAGCCUUUGCUGUCAGUAAGGCUGAAGGGACAUCUAUUACCUAAUAAACACAGAAUAGAUUUAGCAAGGUGAUUCAGAGAAGCAAGUAAAAGCAGUUGAAAAUGUAGUACAGCAUUGAAAAGGAGAGCCUGGAGACUCACACAGAAGAUUAAAGGAUUAUUUCUACCUUGGAAGUUUUGAGAUGAAGGGCCUAGGUAACCUGUGCAUCACUAUCACUGUUUAACUUUACUGACACGGUUUUAUUUUUCUGGCACUUUUGCAACGUAGUUACGUGAACCAGUCAUGAUAGAAUUUAAAUAACAGGGCAUCUAUCAACAAGGCUGGAAUAAAUUCAAAGAUGAGGAGUAUAGUCCACUACAGUUUAAUGAAACAUUAUUUUGCUAUAAUCCAGGUCUCACUUUUAUAUUUUUUCUAGGAGAUACAGCAUGUAAGAACUUCCUUUUUGUUUACAAAAUGUGUUUUAUAGUAUAAAUAUUGUUCCCUAGGAAGCAAAUGGUACUCUCCAAAAUUUUCAGAAUUCAUUAAAAGAGCUUAUAUUAAAGUACAAUUGUGCUGUAGAUUUCCACCUACAUCAGAUAUCAGAAAAAAUGACACUUCAGAUUAAUAUAAUGGAGUAUAAUAUGUUAGCUCAGAAGAGUUAUUCUUCACUUUCCCACCUUAGUUUCUAUUGAUAUUGAUACAUCAGGACUUUUCUAUAUUUAGAUUAUUAAGGGAAUCUGUUAAAAAUCUUUUUGUAAUUACUCUAUUGCCUGUUUUGACAUCUUUUUUUUGUAUUCAUUAUUAAAGUUACCCUUCAUGUCAUCCUUUUUUCUUAUUCUCACUUUCUGUAACACAAAAUGUCUACAAUUUUGGCUAAACAGCUUGUUGAACAAGCUAGUAAGUUAAUGGGUACAACUCUGUGAAACAACAGAGAUUUGAUGGGGAAGCAUCCUGGUAAAAUAAUUUUUUUUGCCCAUUUACUUCAUGCCUUUCAAGGAAAUGGUGUGUCUACAUCAACAGAAACGUGCUUUUAUCAGCAUACUUCACAUCCACAAUGCACACUGGCAGCAUGGCUGUAUCAGUAUGAGCUUGCAGUGUAGACAACCUGUACGUCCCAGUAAUGGAGUUCAAACGCAGGCUGUAGUGCCUGUUAUCUGUUUCUCCCAGAGCACUGAGUAAACUCUCUUCAAAGUCAGGAGUAUAGAAAGGGUAACAGGGAAACUGGGAGAUAAAUAACCCAUUUCAAAGUGAAUUUUGCAUUUUGAAGAUUUCAGAGACAGAUAACCACAUCUAAACAGAACAAAAGCACGAAACCACUGCACACACUGGGUAGGAGCUGCAAGCAUCAGCCCGUGCGGUGUUGGGUGCCUUCAGCUGCAGAAUGAAGCAUGAGCCUGCAACACUGAGUGAGUGACAUUCAAUUGAUUGCUGAGUAUGGGCUCUAAAAAUUGACUCAAAGUUUUGCCUUGUCAAACUGGAUGAUCUAGUUGUUUUUAUUAAACAGGGAAAAAGUCAUACAGGAAAUUUGAGGGUCAGAGAGAUAACUUGCUUCAGUAAAUUAUAUAAGCAUAGGACAUGGCCCUGAAAACAUCUGUAACUCAGUUUCUGAAUAGUUUCACUAACAAGUAUUGCAAUGUCUUUUUCACCUUACCGCUUUUCAAGGACUAGUAAAACUUUAAACAUUUACUCUGAACUUCCAGGUCAUUUAAUUCAACUCAGAAAGAAGCGGGAAGAGCACCGAGGUAUCCAAGAUGCCAAUCGCUAAAGCAGACUCACACGUAAAUGUGGUUGGGUUUUCCACCCCAUCC